Molecule: RNase P RNA, 463 nt
Filed under: Leptolyngbyaceae cyanobacterium HOT.MB2.61
Lineage: Bacteria; Bacillati; Cyanobacteriota; Cyanophyceae; Leptolyngbyales; Leptolyngbyaceae
Description: RNase P RNA component class A
Rfam family: Bacterial RNase P class A
About the family: Ribonuclease P (RNase P) is a ubiquitous endoribonuclease, found in archaea, bacteria and eukarya as well as chloroplasts and mitochondria.
Source: RNAcentral
AAGAGUAGGCGCAGGCGGUUGCAGGUUGUUGAGGAUCUUCCCCAAUGGCCUGAGGAAAGUCCGGGCUUCCCAAAGACCAGACCUGCUGGGUAACGCCCAGUACGGGUAACCGUGAGGAUAGUGCCACAGAAACAUACCGCCAACGAUAAAGUUAUGAGUUCUCAGGUUUGAGUUUUGAAUUGACUCAACACUUAAAACUUAACACUCACAACUUUGUUGGUAAGGGUGCAAAGGUGCGGUAAGAGCGCACCAGCAGCAUCGAGAGGUGCUGGCUCGGUAAACCCCGGUCGGAAGCAAGGCCGAUGGAACUAUGGUUGGUCUUUUACCAGUUCCGUGCAGAAGGAGGAUUCCCUUCUGCCAGUCCGCUAGAGGCGUUUGGUAACAGGCGCCCCAGAUAGAUAACUGCCCUUCUGGUGCCGUGCAUUCGGAAGAACAGAACCCGGCUUACGUCCUGCUCUUUCCC